AAAAAUCUUCUCGAGGUA
RNAcentral lists this transfer RNA (18 nucleotides) under Ambystoma maculatum (spotted salamander). RNAcentral's name for it is "partial tRNA-Thr". Lineage: Eukaryota; Metazoa; Chordata; Amphibia; Caudata; Ambystomatidae. The record is from RNAcentral.